Molecule: microRNA, 22 nt
Filed under: Macaca mulatta (Rhesus monkey)
Lineage: Eukaryota; Metazoa; Chordata; Mammalia; Primates; Cercopithecidae
Description: mml-miR-643
Gene: mml-miR-643
Source: miRBase by way of RNAcentral
ACUUGUAUUCUAGCUCAGGUAG